This 24-nucleotide non-coding RNA is filed under the name Arabidopsis thaliana (thale cress). The record is from RNAcentral. Lineage: Eukaryota; Viridiplantae; Streptophyta; Magnoliopsida; Brassicales; Brassicaceae.
GAAGCCAAGAGUAUCUCCCUAACA